AAGGAUCAUUAUUGAAUGUAUUUGCAAGUGGGUUGUAGCUGGCUCCAACACGGAGCAUGUGCACGCCUCUUGCCUCUACUACUUUUCCACUUGUGAACCUUUGUAGACUACGAAUGAACUACUCGCCUGCGAAUGGCGGAAAGAGAGGGUUGAUCUUAACUGGUCAUUUCUCUUGCUAGUUCGUAGUCUAUGUCAUAUUUACCCUUGAUCGAAUGUCAAUGAAUGUCUUUUACUGGUCUUUGAACCUUUAAAUUUAAUACAACUUUCAGCAACGGAUCUCUUGGCUCUCGCAUCGAUGAAGAACGCAGCGAAAUGCGAUAAGUAAUGUGAAUUGCAGAAUUCAGUGAAUCAUCGAAUCUUUGAACGCACCUUGCGCUCCUUGGUAUUCCGAGGAGCAUGCCUGUUUGAGUGUCAUUAAAUUCUCAACCUCACCAGUUUUUACGAAUUGGCUGAUGGCUUGGAUGUGGGAGUUGCGGGCUUCUUUGAAGUCGGCUCUUCUUAAAUGCAUUAGUGGAGACUUGCAAUCGUCGCCUUGGUGUGAUAAUUAUCUGCGCCUUGGUGUAUGGUGGCUAAUCAAAUGUCUUUGCUUCUAACAGUCCAUUGACUUGGACAACACUUUAUGACUUUUGACCUCAAAUCAGGUAGGACUACCCGCUGAACUUAAGCAUAUCAAUAAGCGGAGGAAAAGAAACUAACAAGGAUUCCCCUAGUAACUGCGAGUGAAGCGGGAAGAGCUCAAAUUUAAAAUCUGGCAGUCUUCGAUUGUCCGAGUUGUAAUUU
This 780-nucleotide ribosomal RNA is filed under the name uncultured fungus. RNAcentral's name for it is "eukaryotic LSU rRNA". The stretch from base 261 to 414 matches the Rfam family "5.8S ribosomal RNA". The record is from RNAcentral. Lineage: Eukaryota; Fungi.